UCCCCGCCCCACCCCUUUCCUCCCCUCCCUUCCCUUCCCUGCGCGCCGCGCUCCGGGCUUUGCCUGACAUCUAGCUGCUGCUGGGGCGCCGGCGGCCGCCGCUCACUGGCCAAGCGGAGAGGAACGGAGCUGGCGGAGAGGAGGGUCAGGGACUCGGAAGCCUUAGAGUGGGCAAUGGAGGUGAGGGGCGAGGAGCAACCACCCCCCCAGGUUUUUAAUUUCCACUGGACACAGGUUUUGUUUUCCCCAGCUGCUCCAAGCUUGGAGUUUUGUCCCUGGCUCCAGUAUUUGCCCCUAUUCAGUGCGUGUCAUCUCGCCUUGCACUUUUUCUAAACGUACUCGGGGUGGCACUGCCUGUACCUCGACAUCGGUUUUUGAAGGGCGCUUUACCGGCCUAAGCCCAGGCCUUUUGUGCCUCCGGGUCUUCUGAGCACCCAGACUGCCAGUAGCCUCCAGGCGCAGAGUUCGCGGCCCGGGUAAACCAGAUGCUAGAGGGUCCGCGGGCUCUAUCGUCGAGGGGCGGUGCCCCAUUUUGGCUGUCGCGACCCCUGGAGGCCAAGGUCGAGGUCUGAGAGAAACUUUUCUCCCUCCCAGUCUUGGCCAUCCCCUAGCCUUUGCCCUCCAGGGAACCUAGUUGAAAACAUUUCCUGAGAACUGCACCCCCUUCAGGGCAAAGUCUUCAGGGGGCGAGUAAAAGCCCGAAGACGAUUCAGAACCGCAAGUGGUUCCUCUCAUCUGGCUCCUCCACUUUAGAGGAUGGGGUUGAGGUCGGUAGCCCCCGGGUAGAGCCACCAGAAGAAAUCUCCGGAUGCGCAGAGUCCCCUUCUCCGCCCUUUUCCCUAGAGCUUGUUGAAGAUAGGGCUCGAGAGGCGCAGUGGGCUAACGUCCAGGAGCGUUGGGGUGAGGGUGAUGGCGGAGAGCGCCCUCCCUGGGUCUCCGGAGAGUCAGCCCUGGAGGUCAUUCAGCCUUAGCAACGAGGGGCUUCAGUCACUGGGUCCCCACGUUCAGUGCCUUUAUCACAUCCCCAGGCACAUCUCAGACACUGUCCCUAACGGAGAGUCGGGCCCCAGGAAUUAAAGAGUCAGGAAGGGUGGCAGAAGCCAAUAGAAGCAAAAAUCUGCUCUGGCCCCAUAAGGCCCCUUGGGGGAGGUUUACAUCAGAACUGAUCUGGGUUCAAGAGCUGCUAAUGGGGUAGUCCCAAGGAUAGGCAAUUCCAUCCCAGCCAGCAGCCCUCUCUGUUCACAAGAAAAGUGCUCAGACCUGCAGGAGUCAGAGGAGAGAAGCAAAGCUGAGGGAGAAGCACACGAAGCCAAGGUCUCCGCAGCAGCCAGCCAAGCUAAGGACCCAGCAGCCCUCCACUGAGUCAGGCCACUAGCUUGUUAGGGCUGCACCUGUGGCAUAUGGAGGUUCCCAGGCUAGGGGUUGAAUCCGAGCUACAGCUGCCGAACUACGCCACAGCCACAGCCACCGACCUACGCCACAGCCACAGCCACAUGGGAUCCGAGCCAUGUCUGCGACCUACACCACAGCUCACGGCAACACUGGAUCCCUGACCCACUGAGCGAGGCCAAGGAUCGAACCCGCGUCCUCAUGGAUACUGGUCGGAUUCGUUUCCACUGUGCCAUGACAGGAACUCCUCCCUGUUGGACCCUUGAGGUAAUCUUCUCCACGCCACCCUCCCAUCAUAAUGAAUGUCUCCUUCCUCCCCAGGCUGGCACUGUUUAAAACUCAUCAUGGUGUUGCCCGCCAUGGCCUUGUAUCUGACUGAGUUCCGUGUCUUCUGACCACCCCUUGCAUUGUGAGUUUCUAGAAGGCUUGGUCUCAGUCUUAUUCAACUUAAAAUCCUCAACUCCCAGCCCUCAGGGCCUACACACUGUCAAGAAGAGCAGAUCUCAAUAAACGUUCAUGAAUGAACUAAUCGAACAAAUGGAUACAUGCAGGCAGGCAUGGACAUAGACCCAUGGGACUUUCGGAAUCUGAGCGAGCAGGGACUAUUCUGUAGCUUAACAUUCAGGGCAGAUUUCUUUGUACCCAUGGGGUUUUCCUCAGCCUUUGAAAAAAUCUAAGAGAUACAGAUAAGCUUUGAGGAUCCUUUAGUGGCAUGCAGCUCUUUGAGGGUAUGACUGGGUUCUAUUUCAGGUUAUAUCAAUUUAUAUCUUCCGCAGAGCCCUAGAACCAAGCGUUUCUCUCUAUCCUAAAAGCAUCAGUAAAUAUUUAUUUGGAGUUUUCUGGUGGCCCAGUGAGUUAAGGAUCCCACAUUGCCACUGUUGUGGCUCUGGUUACAGCUGUGGGGCGGAUUCAAUCCCUAGCCCAGAAACCCGCAUGCUGGGUGUUUGUUGAUGAAUUGAUUGAUUACAUUGCAUUGAAUUGAAAUGGAUUGAUAUGAGUUCACUCCUUACUCCCAGAGUGGCCUUGUAUUCCCAAUCCCAAAUGGCUCUUAGUUAACCAGUCCAGGGCUGAGAGGAAGCAUCUGAUCUGCUGCUAAGGACAUCAGUGGGUAGAGGACUGCCAGCUUAAUCCUGGACUUGCACAUAAGAAAUGCAUUGGGCACAAGGACUGACAGGUUAGUUCUGCCAUGACCCAGUGUGGCAGAGACUGGCUAGCUGUUCUCCAAACGUCUUCCCAAGCACAUGAUGCAUUACAUUUUUUAGCUUUCCCUGCUGCUGGAUACAGGCCAUGUGAUUGCAUUCUCGCCAAUGAAUGGAUUGUGAGCAGAAGACCAUUGUGCCCAGGGCCAGCCCGUAAACACUCCCAGGUGGAUUUAUCCAUGCCCUUCCCCUUGGUGACCUGACACCAUGAGCAUAGAGAUACCUUGAAAGCUGAGUGAUGGGGACGUCAGCAGAACUAACAUGGCAGGAGCCUGGAUCCCUGCAUCACAACCUGGAGGGCCGCUACCUGUCUACUGAGAGCUUCCAUUGUGGACUUUAUAGAAACAAGAAAUAAACAUUUGAUAUCCUGA
This is a non-coding RNA of Sus scrofa (pig), 2959 nucleotides long. Lineage: Eukaryota; Metazoa; Chordata; Mammalia; Artiodactyla; Suidae. The record is from RefSeq and is a predicted model, not a curated record.